AUGUCAGCCGCCGCGGUAAUACGGGGGGUGCAAGCGUUGUCCGGAAUCACUGGGUGUAAAGGGUGUGUAGGCGGGGCUGUAAGUCAGAGGUGAAAUCCCACGGCUCAACCGUGGAACUGCCUUUGAUACUGCAGCUCUUGAGUCCCGGAGAGGUGGCUGGAAUUCGUGGUGUAGCAGUGAAAUGCGUAGAUAUCACGAGGAACACCAGAGGUGUAGACGGGUCACUGGACGGGUACUGACGCUGGGGCACGAAAGCGUGGGGAGCAAACAGGAUUAGAUACCCUGGUAGUCCACGCCGUAAACGAUGGAUGCUCAGUGUUGCCCCGCCUUUAGGGGCAGUGCCUAAGCUAACGCGUUAAGCAUCCCACCUGGGGAGUACGCUCGCAAGAGUGAAACUCGAAUGAAUUGGCGGGG
Molecule: ribosomal RNA, 414 nt
Filed under: uncultured prokaryote
Description: bacterial SSU rRNA
Rfam family: Bacterial small subunit ribosomal RNA
Source: RNAcentral